GGAGAGUAAAGUGAUCUGGUGACACUCGCGGACUUCAAAUCCGAUGACGGAGCGGUUGACCGUUUUGUGGGGAGUUCGAUUCUCUCACUCUCUC
RNAcentral lists this transfer RNA (94 nucleotides) under Campylobacter majalis. Its description in RNAcentral is "Campylobacter sp. LMG 7974 tRNA-Sec". It matches the Rfam family "Selenocysteine transfer RNA". Lineage: Bacteria; Pseudomonadati; Campylobacterota; Epsilonproteobacteria; Campylobacterales; Campylobacteraceae. The record is from RNAcentral.